This 1320-nucleotide long non-coding RNA is filed under the name Calidris pugnax (ruff). RNAcentral's name for it is "lncRNA (ENSCPUG00000019040.1)". Lineage: Eukaryota; Metazoa; Chordata; Aves; Charadriiformes; Scolopacidae. The record is from RNAcentral.
GGGGGGGGGACUGACCCCCCCUCCCAACACCCUUUGGGGCUCUGUCUGUCCUGUCUGUCCAUCCGUCCGUCCUUCCCGUCUCCGCUUCAGCCUCUGACGCCGGACUGACUCCGCCUGCCAACCCCCAGGAGCUGCCGGGCUUUGGGAUUUUGGUGGUUUGGGGUUCUUUUUGGUGUGGGGGGGGCCUGCCCCCUCCCUGGUGGGUGCUGUGGCUGCCAUGUCUGUCUGUCCGUCCGUCUGUCCUUCCCAUCUCCCAUUCAGCCUCUGACGCCGGACUGACUCCGCCUGCCAACCCCCAGGAGCUGCCGGGCUUUGGGAUUUUGGUGGUUUGGGGUUCUUUUUGGUGUGGGGGGGGCCUGCCCCCUCCCUGGUGGGUGCUGUGGCUGCCAUGUCUGUCUGUCCGUCCGUCUGUCCUUCCCAUCUCCCAUUCAGCCUCUGACGCCGGACUGACUCCGCCUGCCAACCCCCAGGAGCUGCCGGGCUUUGGGAUUUUGGUGGUUUGGGGUUCUUUUUGGUGUGGGGGGGGCCUGCCCCCUCCCUGGUGGGUGCUGUGGCUGCCAUGUCUGUCUGUCCGUCCGUCUGUCCUUCCCAUCUCCCAUUCAGCCUCUGACGCCGGACUGACUCCGCCUGCCAACCCCCAGGAGCUGCGGGGCUUUGGGAUUCUGGUGGUUUGGGGUUUUUUUUGGGUGGGGGGGGCCUGCCCCCACCCUGGUGGGUGCUGUGGCUGCCAUGUCUGUCUGUCCAUCCGUCCGUCCUUCCCGUCUCCGCUUCUGACGCUGCCGGACUGACUCCGCCUGCGAAACCCCCCCCGGAGCUGCAGGGCUUUGGGAUUCUGGUGGUUUGGGGUUUUUUUUGGUUGGGGGGGGGCCUGCCCCCACCCUGGUGGGUGCUGUGGCUGCCAUGUCCGUCCGUCCAUCCGUCCUUCCCAUCUCUGCUUCAGCCUCUGACGCUGGACUGACUCUGCCUGCGAAACCCCCCCCUGGAGCUGCCGCGCUUGUCGCUCUGGGGAUUCCGGUGGGUUUUUUGGGUUUGUUUUUGGUUUUUUUUAUGGUUUGGAAAAGGCGCCGGGUGCUGUGGCUGCUGCGUGUGUCCAUCUGUCUGUCCAUCUGUGCGUCCGCCCUGCAUUAAAACUCUUUUUCACACCCCCUUCCGCCAAAAAACAUCCCCAGGGACUGGUCUCUCUCCCUGUAGAGAUGGGGGGGGGGAAGGAUGUGGGGCCGGGAUGAUGAUGCUCUGGGCUUGGAAAACUGGGUGGGGGGGAAAAGUACAGGCUCCCCCCUCCCGGCCGAUCUGUGGGGCAGGAUCAGGCCCCAUGGCAGC